Long non-coding RNA from Aethalodelphis obliquidens (Pacific white-sided dolphin), 698 nucleotides. RefSeq lists it as uncharacterized. Lineage: Eukaryota; Metazoa; Chordata; Mammalia; Artiodactyla; Delphinidae. The record is from RefSeq and is a predicted model, not a curated record. The transcript has 4 exons.
UCAAAAUGUGAAUUUCUGUUUUGAAGCAGAAUUUACCUAUGUAAGUUCUAAGUAUACAGAUAUGCUUUAUCAGUUUGAGAAUUUAUGGAGAAUUAGCCACUCCAUGUAAGAGGCUGCUUUUUUUCUGAUGACCUCUUCAUUUGGGCCAGCUCCAGUGUUAUAAAAAGCUUACACUCUGUUAGAGUAACAUAAGAAAUAAGAAAGAUUGGGGAUAGCGGAAAUUGAAACAGGCAUUCUUUUUUCUUCUGAAGACAGAAGUGAAGCGAUUGCCCAUGUUUGUUGAAUUUUAUUACAGUGAAAGCAGAGAUUUCUCCACACUUUCGGUCUCAGCCUUUGUCCAGCCUCACUAUGCAGUGUAUGCAUCACCUUCUGAACUAAAGAAGCAGUUCACACUUGACCUAGAACUUCAAGUUACCUGUGACCACUACUUAUAAAAAUCUUACUACUGGAUAUGCCAAAAGAAUUUCAUUGGUUGAAGAGAGAUAACAUGAAAUGGAAAGCCCAGAUCUCCAGAAAGAAAUGAAGAGAACCAGAAAAGAAAAAUGUGAAACUCCUGACCAAGCCCUCCCAGAAAGAACCACAAAAACAAAACAAAAAGCCCAAGAAGAUACAAAAGCGAAUCCUGAAAACAUAACUUUUUCUCAUAUAAGCUUGUGGGAUCUUAGUUCCCUGACCAGGGACGGAACCCAGGCCCUCAG